Molecule: ribosomal RNA, 400 nt
Filed under: phytoplankton environmental sample
Lineage: Eukaryota
Description: partial small subunit ribosomal RNA
Rfam family: Eukaryotic small subunit ribosomal RNA
Source: RNAcentral
AGCUCCAGUAGCGUAUAUUAAAGUUGUUGCAGUUAAAAAGCUCGUAGUUGGAUUUCUGGUACGCUGCGCCUGGCCCGCCCGCUUCGAGCGUGGUGUGUGCUGGAGCGCGGUUGCCAUCCUUCUAGAGAACGUUUCUACCCUUCGCUGGGCUGGAUUCGCAAUCUAGAUCUUUUACUUUGAAAAAAUUAGAGUGUUUAAAGCAGGCAUUUGCCAUGAAUACAUUAGCAUGGAAUAAUAAUAUAGGACUUUGGUUCUAUUUUGUUGGUUUCUAGGACUAAAGUAAUGAUUGAUAGGGAUAGUUGGGGGUGCUCGUAUUUAGCGGCCAGAGGUGAAAUUCUUGGAUUCGCUAAAGACGAACUUAUGCGAAAGCAUUCACCAAGGAUGUCUUCUUUAAUCAAGA